AAAUGAGCUCGAUCACAAACAGGGUGGUGGUGUCCGUGAAGUACUGCAGCUGGCCGGCGGUGUACCACGAGGGGGUGUUGAGGAUGCCGAUCUUGGUGAGCAGCUCCGGGAUGAAGAUGCCGGCAGCGCCCAGCAUCGCCCACCGGCAGUGGACGAUCUCCGCUUGCUGGUUCCAUCUCAGGCUCUCAGGAUCAGAGCCUGCACGUGUAAAGAAGACCCACUCGUUCAUCUUUUGUUGCCGUAAGCACCAUGACAUGGUGGUCUGUAAGGGUUCGACGAGCUCAGACUUACCGAGACCCAAAGGAUCGAAGCCAAAAUCUCCAGGAAGGCUGCAACUCCAAUAUGUCAGUUUGGGGAAACGAAGAGGAAGAAGGAGGAGAGUGUCUUCACCUGCCAUCAAGCCAUGGUGGAGGGGUGCUGCCUGGGAACCAGAGAGGCCUCUCAGGUGCAGCGGCAGCAGACACCGAGAGCUCCCGGCGUGCAGUUUGUGCCCGUGCCGCCCGCUUCCCCUGCCUCAGUUUCCUUCCUCCAAGAAAUGAUGCCUUGGUUGCAGCAACGGCAGCAGCUCCGUUCUUCCGAGACCUG
Molecule: long non-coding RNA, 585 nt
Filed under: Musa acuminata (dwarf banana)
Lineage: Eukaryota; Viridiplantae; Streptophyta; Magnoliopsida; Zingiberales; Musaceae
Description: long non-coding RNA (MACU_LNC004960)
Source: RNAcentral